Triplophysa rosa is the source of this 1028-nucleotide long non-coding RNA. RefSeq lists it as uncharacterized. The record is from RefSeq and is a predicted model, not a curated record. Lineage: Eukaryota; Metazoa; Chordata; Actinopteri; Cypriniformes; Nemacheilidae. The transcript is spliced from 4 exons.
AAGAGAACAUAAUAUGGUAAGGUAAAUUGAACAAACCAUUACAUUUACAUUUUUAUGAUUAUUAACAUAUGUCGCUGGAUUUUUGCUUCUGUUUUUCAAGAUGGAUGUAGGCUAUUCCUAUUAAAGCAGCUGGUACAACUAAAACAAGCUCAUUUCAAAUUAAUGAUAUAUCCUGAGUUGUUUUAGCUAUAAAAACAUGUUUUUGUCUCGUUAGAGGAGGAGACAGAUCAUUUUGGCUAUAUUGUCAGGUAUAGGACUAAUAAAUAUUUCACUUGAAUAAUUUUAUUUUUGGUUAAUGUUUCCCUCACAAAUGUUUUAAUUUAGCAUCGUUUUUUUUUUUUGUCAAUUUCAGCACUUCCUUUGGAAAACAGCCCUGAGACCAAGAAAGAAGAAAUGGAGACCAAAACACCUUCCUAGCUGUUGCUGUUUGAAGAGAUUUUCGUGAGAUUUCAUCAGAAAGGAAGACAUCAAACGUGAAUCUGCAUCUCAACAGUAAAAGCGGACCGGACGACAAAACAGACAGUGACGUCAACAGCACUCAUAUGAUGAAAUAUGUGUAUUUAUAUGAGUACCUCUCAGAUCUGACACAGCAACAUUUUAAAGAUCUUGCAGACCAAGACAAAGGAGCAACUUUUCUGUGAUGUCACAUGGGGCCUGUUUGGGGCAGUUCCCUUGGAAAAACAGCCCACUGUUCAAGACAAGACAACAACUGGCCAACUUAAUCAAGCCAAAACAUUAAAAUACAACAUACUCGUGUGUUUACUCAAAUCAUGUGAGUAUUUCAAAGAGUUUAAAGCCCAACUAAAGUGGAUUACUUGUAGCUAGAUGCUGUCUGCCCUGUUAUAGCUCCCCCUAGCAGCACCCUGCAUAUUUCCUUGUUCAUGCUAAGCAAGAUAUCCAUUUCCAACCCUAUACAGACACCAUGUAGGAGCUGUAAAAAACUAUAUACAGACAAAUAUAAGAGCCAAUGUGCAUCUAAAUGAUGCCAUCCAUCCUUUAGUGACCUUCCCAUUGGACAACACAGCUCC